RNAcentral lists this unclassified non-coding RNA (337 nucleotides) under soil metagenome. RNAcentral's name for it is "partial contains 5.8S ribosomal RNA, internal transcribed spacer 2, and large subunit ribosomal RNA". The stretch from base 1 to 120 matches the Rfam family "5.8S ribosomal RNA", at positions 35 to 154 of the family's 154-position model. The record is from RNAcentral.
GAUGAAGAACGCAGUGAAAUGCGAUAAGUAGUGUGAAUUGCAGAAUUCAGUGAAUCAUCGAAUCUUUGAACGCACAUUGCGCCCCUUGGUAUUCCAUGGGGCAUGCCUGUUCGAGCGUCAUUUGUACCUUCAAGCUUUGCUUGGUGUUGGGUGUUUGUCUCGCCUCUGCGUGUAGACUCGCCUCAAAACAAUUGGCAGCCGGCGUAUUGAUUUCGGAGCGCAGUACAUCUCGCGCUUUGCACUCAUAACGACGACGUCCAAAAGUACAUUUUUACACUCUUGACCUCGGAUCAGGUAGGGAUACCCGCUGAACUUAAGCAUAUCAAUAAGCGGAGGA